RNAcentral lists this ribosomal RNA (495 nucleotides) under uncultured bacterium. RNAcentral's name for it is "partial 16S ribosomal RNA". It matches the Rfam family "Bacterial small subunit ribosomal RNA", at positions 28 to 507 of the family's 1533-position model. The record is from RNAcentral.
GACGAACGCUGGCGGCGUGCCUAAUACAUGCAAGUAGAACGCUGAAGGAGGAGCUUGCUUCUCCGGAUGAGUUGCGCACGGGUGAGUAACGCGUAGGUAACCCGCCUGGUAGCGGGGGAUAACUAUUGGAAACGAUAGCUAAUACCGCAUAACAGUAGAUGUUGCAUGACAUUUGCUUAAAAGGUGCAAUUGCAUCACUACCAGAUGGACCUGCGUUGUAUUAGCUAGUUGGUGAGGUAACGGCUCACCAAGGCGACGAUACAUAGCCGACCGGAGAGGGGGGUCGGCCACACUGGGACUGAGACACGGCCCAGACUCCUACGGGAGGGAGCAAUAGGGAAUCUUCGGCAAUGGACGGAAGUCUGACCGAGCAACGGCGCGUGAGUGAAGAAGGUUUUCGGAUCGUAAAGCUCUGUUGUAAGGGAAGAACGAGUGUGAGAGUGGAAAGUUCACGCUGUGACGGUAUCUUACCAGAAAGGGACGGCUAACUACGUG